This 73-nucleotide transfer RNA is filed under the name Bos taurus (domestic cattle). It matches the Rfam family "tRNA". Rfam says of the family: Transfer RNA (tRNA) molecules are approximately 80 nucleotides in length. Their secondary structure includes four short double-helical elements and three loops (D, anti-codon, and T loops). The record is from Rfam by way of RNAcentral. Lineage: Eukaryota; Metazoa; Chordata; Mammalia; Artiodactyla; Bovidae. RNAcentral also lists the same sequence under 1 other name.
UCCCUGGUGGCUCAGAUGGUAAAGCAUCUGCCUAUAAUGUGGGUAGACCCGGGUUCAAUCCCUGGAUUGGGAA